RNAcentral lists this non-coding RNA (122 nucleotides) under Spiroplasma taiwanense. RNAcentral also lists the same sequence under 1 other name. Lineage: Bacteria; Bacillati; Mycoplasmatota; Mollicutes; Entomoplasmatales; Spiroplasmataceae. The record is from RNAcentral.
AGGGAAUUUGGUUAAAAGCCAAAACUGUAACAGCAGCUGUAAUGGGAAUUAAAUAUUAUAUAAUCAUUGGAAUUAAUUUUCUGAGAAGGAUAUAUUUAAGAUGAACCAAAGUUAGGAUACCU